CCUACGGGAGGCAGCAGUGGGGAAUAUUGCACAAUGGGGGAAACCCUGAUGCAGCGACGCCGCGUGAAGGAAGAAGGAUUUCGGUAUGGAAACCUCUAUCAGCAGGGAAGAAAAGGACGGUACCUGACUAAGAAGCCCCGGCUAACUACGUGCCAGCAGCCGCGGUAUUACGUAGGGGGGAAGCGUUAACCGGAUUUACUGGGUGUAAAGGGAGCGUAGGCGGUUUAGCAAGUCAGAAGUGAAAGCCCUGGGCUCAACCCCGGGACUGCUUUUGAAACUGGUGAACUAGAUUGCAGGAGAGGUAAGUGGAAUUCCUAGUGUAGCGGUGAAAUGCGUAGAUAUUAGGAGGAACACCAGUGGCGAAGGCGGCUUUCUGGACUGUAAAUGACGCUGAGGCUCGAAAGCGUGGGGAGCAAACAGGAUUAGAUACCCGAGUAGUC
Molecule: ribosomal RNA, 440 nt
Filed under: uncultured bacterium
Lineage: Bacteria
Description: partial 16S ribosomal RNA
Rfam family: Bacterial small subunit ribosomal RNA
Source: RNAcentral